ACAGGUUUGGACUCAUGUUAUUCACGCAACAAUACAAACAUCAUGCCUAUUGAGUGAAAUAAAGAAACUAAAUUGUAUCAUCAUUUCAAACAUGCUUUUCUCAAUGUCUAUAGAAACUUGUUGACUUAUUCUGGGUUAUCGAUUUUCAUUGAAUAUGGCCUUAUGGUCUCCUGUUUUAUGUACAGUAGCUACUCUACAGCACACUGUACAUCUGUAGUGUACAUCUGUUUUCUCUCUCAUACUGUUUCUACCUUUCUUAUCUACAUUCUACAUUCCCGACAACAGUAAAUCACACCCUGCGUUGUUAGUGGUACUGGUAGACCUGAACUUCUCAGCCACACCUCUAACCCAUCCCACUUUCAGAGGAAGUAGAUCCUCAUUCGGUGUACGUCUCACAAGCUAUCAACAUCAGUGGGAGCAGAAUAAGUUAUCUGGUACCAGGAGGGGCUUAUGGGGCUUAUGACUUCUCUACAUUCCAGACUACAGUAAAUCACACCCUGCAUGGUACUGGUAGACCUGAACUUAUCAGCCACGCCUCUAACCCAUCCCACUUGGGUAUAAGCUGACUCAACAUCAGCAAGAGCAGAAGACUAUCCGAUCCUAUGGCCCUAUUGGAGCUCUAGGAGAUGGUUUUAACAUGGAAGCAUCUUCUUCAGGGAGAUCUACAGGACGUUUUCAGCCAGGUGUUUUAUUUUAUAAUUUCUCGCUCAGGUCCUCUUUAGGCUUCUUAUCUUUGUGGAUAUGGUAGUUCUCAAUGACAUGAUUUUGUGUGUUAUAUGCAGUCAAGUUGAUCAUUAUUAGCAAUCUUGAUAAAGAUUAGCAAAAAAGACUACAAUACUAUAAUAUAUAAAUAUGUAAUAUAAAAUAAAACAUACAAAUACUGAGCUAUAUGGUAAGUAAAAAAUGAGGACAUUUUAUACUAAUACAAUUGUUUAGAGAAAUAUAUAUUUUUAACAGGUAAUACAAAAAAAAUCUAAAGAAGAUAGGGGUCAAAAUGAUUGGCACCCCUGUUUUCAAUACUCCAGCACCCUCCCUUUGAGAGGAUAAUUACACUGUUACACUGAGCCUUAAUCUAAAAUGUUUUAUGAGAUUGGAGAACACGUUGGGAGAGAUCUUAGACCAUUCCUCCAUUCAGAAUCUUUCCAGAUCCGUGACAUCAUUUGCCUGCUCUUAUGGACUACCCUCUUCAAUUCAAACCACAGGAUACUGAUAUGGCCAUUGCACAGUGUUGAUUUUGUGAUUAUAUUGAUUAGUGCUUGGGGUUAUUGUCUUUUUGGAAGUGUCAGCCUCCUGGCAGAGACAACCAGGUUUUUGGCUAAAAUGUCCUGGUACUUGGUAAAGUUCAUGAUGCCGUUGACCUUACGGGCCCCAGGACCAGUGGAAGCAAAUCAUCUUACUGGGAUGAGUAAGCAGUUAGCGGACAGCAGACAAAGCUACAGCAUGAGGUCGGGAGCCCUUGGCACCAUGGGCUGGAAUGCCCCAGAGGUCCUGGAUGACAGCAGGAAAGUAAACCCUGUGAGUGGCUCCUGAUCUUUACACUGGACCAGAGAACUGUUCAAGUCAUUACAGAUUCAGAGAUAAUCCUGAAAGAAAUGUGAUGAAAUAGGCUAAUUGGCAUUUCCUUACAGGAGUUAAACAGGAUUGUCCCAUUGCUCAAAGGAACAGUUCACCCUAAAAUCAAAGUUGAUCUUCUGUUGUGGAGAUCAAGCUACAGUAUAUUACACAUACGUACAUAAGAAAGAUAGGCACCAUCUACACAACCAUGGUAUGGGAUGUGGACUAUGCUCGACAUUAGACCACUUUUGGGGAUAAGAGGAACCACUUUCCAUCCAUAAGUUUAUGCCAUUAAAGUCAUAUUAUAUAUAUUUUUUAAAUGUGAUGGAACCAGGAAGUUUAGGUACAAUUUUAUGAUUGCCAAUAGAUCAUUUGUUCAUUCGACAUGGUGGGAUCUUUUUGUGUCUGUAAAAUGAAUUAUGUGAGAAAUGGCAGUGGAAACAGCUUCAUAAGCAAAUAUUGAUAUAAUAACCAUCAUACUGAAGUAAACU
Oncorhynchus tshawytscha (Chinook salmon) is the source of this 2045-nucleotide long non-coding RNA. RefSeq lists it as uncharacterized. The record is from RefSeq and is a predicted model, not a curated record. The transcript is spliced from 3 exons. NCBI's taxonomy places the organism in Eukaryota, Metazoa, Chordata, Actinopteri, Salmoniformes, Salmonidae.